UACGUAGGGGGCAAGCGUUAUCCGGAAUUACUGGGUGUAAAGGGAGCGUAGACGGUUAAGUAAGUCUGGAGUGAAAGGCCGGGGCCCAACCCCGGGACUGCUCUGGAAACUAUUGAACUUGAGUGCAGGAGAGGUAAGCGGAAUUCCUAGUGUAGCGGUGAAAUGCGUAGAUAUUAGGAGGAACACCAGUGGCGAAGGCAGCAUACCGGCGCCCUACUGACGCUGAGGCACGAAAGUGCGGGUAUCGAACAGG
RNAcentral lists this ribosomal RNA (253 nucleotides) under uncultured Eubacteriales bacterium. RNAcentral's name for it is "uncultured Clostridiales bacterium partial 16S ribosomal RNA". It matches the Rfam family "Bacterial small subunit ribosomal RNA", at positions 524 to 776 of the family's 1533-position model. Lineage: Bacteria; Bacillati; Bacillota; Clostridia; Eubacteriales. The record is from RNAcentral.